AUUGAACGCUGGCGGCAUGCCUUACACAUGCAAGUCGAACGGCAGCACGGGUGCUUGCACCUGGUGGCGAGUGGCGAACGGGUGAGUAAUACAUCGGAACAUGUCCUGUAGUGGGGGAUAGCCCGGCGAAAGCCGGAUUAAUACCGCAUACGAUCUACGGAUGAAAGCGGGGGGCCUUCGGGCCUCGCGCUAUCGGGUUGGCCGAUGGCUGAUUAGCUAGUUGGUGGGGUAAAGGCCUACCAAGGCGACGAUCAGUAGCUGGUCUGAGAGGACGACCAGCCACACUGGGACUGAGACACGGCCCAGACUCCUACGGGAGGCAGCAGUGGGGAAUUUUGGACAAUGGGCGAAAGCCUGAUCCAGCAAUGCCGCGUGUGUGAAGAAGGCCUUCGGGUUGUAAAGCACUUUUGUCCGGAAAGAAAUCCUUGGCCCUAAUACGGUCGGGGGAUGACGGUACCGGAAGAAUAAGCACCGGCUAACUACGUG
RNAcentral lists this ribosomal RNA (486 nucleotides) under uncultured bacterium. RNAcentral describes it as "partial 16S ribosomal RNA". It matches the Rfam family "Bacterial small subunit ribosomal RNA", at positions 30 to 507 of the family's 1533-position model. The record is from RNAcentral.